RNAcentral lists this ribosomal RNA (496 nucleotides) under uncultured bacterium. RNAcentral's name for it is "partial 16S ribosomal RNA". It matches the Rfam family "Bacterial small subunit ribosomal RNA", at positions 30 to 523 of the family's 1533-position model. The record is from RNAcentral.
AUUGAACGCUGGCGGAAUGCUUUACACAUGCAAGUCGAACGGUAGAGGGGGCAACCCCUCGAGAGUGGCGAACGGGUGAGUAAUAUAUCGGAACGUGCCCAGUCGUGGGGGAUAACGUAGCGAAAGUUACGUUAAUACCGCAUACGAUCGAAGGAUGAAAGCGGGGGAUCGCAAGACCCCGCGCGAUUGGAGCGGCCGAUAUCAGAUUAGGUAGUUGGUGGGGUAAAGGCUCACCAAGCCAACGAUCUGUAGCUGGUCUGAGAGGACGACCAGCCACACUGGAACUGAGACACGGUCCAGACUCCUACGGGAGGCAGCAGUGGGGAAUUUUGGACAAUGGACGCAAGUCUGAUCCAGCCAUUCCGCGUGCAGGAUGAAGGCCCUCGGGUUGUAAACUGCUUUUGUACGGAACGAAAAGGUCUCUCUUAAUACGGGGGGCUCAUGACGGUACCGUAAGAAUAAGCACCGGCUAACUACGUGCCAGCAGCCGCGGUAA